CGACAUCUAGCGGCCACGGGGGGGAACUACACGCUGCUGCCAGGCGGUUAUUUCCAGCGUCGGUGGUGCAGCAGAGCAGAUCCUGAUCUGACCGCAGCUCGGCCCCACACACACACACACACACACACACACACACACACACACACUCAGCCCAUCUGUCUGUCUGACUGUCUGUCUGUACGGACACCGCAGGCAGUCUGAUCGCGCACACAGCAGACAGGACUGCACGACCAUGAGCUCGGCGUUUUCCUGACGGCCUCCCUCCUCUCACAUCCUGCAGCUGAAAUCUGUGUGAUCUGUCCAUUCAGAGCAGAGGAGGAGGGGAAGCACUGCAGCAGCCAUGCCGGGCCUGCUCCACAUCACACUGACUGCUCUCCUGGCCGGCUGCUUUGCCUUCAGAUCGGGUCCGUCCCAGCGUGUCAUAGCCCUCAGUUCUCCUGUGGCUCGUCUAUUCUGGGAUGAAGGCCCGGCCCAGCCACACUUCAUCCAGGAAUUAGUCAGAACCAAACGCCACUCAGUCCCUGAGUUAGUCCGAGCCCAGCCUCAUUUGGUUCACGACAUGGGCUGGCCAGAGAUACAUGAAACGUCACGCUCCCAGGCCAAGAUGGACUCCGCUUACUCCUCUCAGGCGAACCCACCAUCGUCUGCCGGUCUUCAGGAUGUAGUCAGGACCCGCCCUGCUGUGGGUGAAAACCUCGAUGUGGAAGACAAGAUGGAGCGCAUGGUUCAUCUGGCGGUUCCCCAGGACGCACAAAGCUACCGGGGGGGCUCAGACUCCACCGACCCAGAGCAGGAGCUCCACGGUGGGCCAGGAGCGGGCGAUGCCUCCCUGGAGGCUUCAGGCUACUACGGAACGGACAUGGAGGACAGAGACAGAGGAGAGGAGGGAGGAGAAGACCGAGAGAGGAGAGGGGGAGAGGACGAGUGGGAGAGAGACACGGUGGAGGACAGAGAGAGGAGUGGGGGAGAGGCCGGAGGAGAGGAAGAAGAGAGGGGAGGAAGGACACAUGGUCAAGAUGUUCAUGCACUGGAUGCCAAUCACACAACUCCAGAUCUGGACGCUCUGAUUGGCUACAGUCCAUCUUUACAACCCUCCAGCUCACCCAACCAGCCCAGCAUCUCCCCCCCAGCUGCGGUGCAUGAUUCUGGGCUACACGAGCAUCGUGCUCCCCCUGUGCUGGAGGUGGGUCCUUUAGAGAGAGAGCUGUGGGAGGCGGAGCCGGAGGAAGCUGGUCAUUCCAGUGGCUACGGAGUCCUUCACUCCUCCGUCACCACUUCUGCUCCGACCGCUGCUGUGGGCGACGCCGCGGGAACGGCCACCCCGGAGACGGACACGGGCACAGACUUUGGGCUGCUGGGGAGUUACACGAAAGGUAAAUGAAGUAAAAAGUACAUGAAGUUUGGUACGAACAUGCGUUUCCCCCGGA
This is a long non-coding RNA of Cottoperca gobio, 1427 nucleotides long. NCBI's taxonomy places the organism in Eukaryota, Metazoa, Chordata, Actinopteri, Perciformes, Bovichtidae. The record is from Ensembl.